CCUACGGGGGGCUGCAGUAGGGAAUAUUGCACAAUGGAGGAAACUCUGAUGCAGCGACGCCGCGUGAGUGAUGAAGGACUUCGGUUCGUAAAGCUCUGUUGCAAGGGAAUAAAAAAAUGAAUGUACCUUGUGAGGAAGGGUCGGCUAACUUCGUGCCAGCAGCCGCGGUAAGACGAGGGACCCUAGCGUUGUUCGGAAUCAUUGGGCGUAAAGCGGGUGUAGGUGGCUUUGUAAGUCAGGUGUGAAAUCCCUGGGCUCAACCCAGGACGUGCAUU
Molecule: ribosomal RNA, 275 nt
Filed under: uncultured Bdellovibrio sp.
Lineage: Bacteria; Pseudomonadati; Bdellovibrionota; Bdellovibrionia; Bdellovibrionales; Pseudobdellovibrionaceae
Description: partial 16S ribosomal RNA
Rfam family: Bacterial small subunit ribosomal RNA
Source: RNAcentral